Molecule: microRNA precursor, 287 nt
Filed under: Oryza sativa Japonica Group (Japanese rice)
Lineage: Eukaryota; Viridiplantae; Streptophyta; Magnoliopsida; Poales; Poaceae
Description: MIR812 microRNA precursor family
Rfam family: MIR812 microRNA precursor family
Source: Rfam by way of RNAcentral
AAUACGUGCAAUUUUGCACUGUUCAUAUUUAACGUUUGACCGUUCAUCUUAUUUGAAAUUUUUUUAUGAUUAAUAUUUUUAUUGUUAUUAGAUGAUAAAACAUCAAUAGUACUUUAUGUGCGUGUGUUCAUAGGGGUGAGUGGCGUGCGUUGUGAGUGUCUACGUAGUAUUGUGUAAUUCUAAAAAAAAAGUACUUUAUGUGUGACAUUUUUUUAAUUUUUUUCAUAAAUUUUUAAAUAAGAUGAACGGUCAAAGAUCAGAUGUGGAUUUUCAUGGCUGCACUUAUU